GAGUGGCGAACGGGUGAGUAACACGUGGGUAACCUGCCCAUCAGAAGGGGAUAACACUUGGAAACAGGUGCUAAUACCGUAUAACAAUCGAAACCGCAUGGUUUUGAUUUGAAAGGCGCUUUCGGGUGUCGCUGAUGGAUGGACCCGCGGUGCAUUAGCUAGUUGGUGAGGUAACGGCUCACCAAGGCCACGAUGCAUAGCCGACCUGAGAGGGUGAUCGGCCACAUUGGGACUGAGACACGGCCCAAACUCCUACGGGAGGCAGCAGUAGGGAAUCUUCGGCAAUGGACGAAAGUCUGACCGAGCAACGCCGCGUGAGUGAAGAAGGUUUUCGGAUCGUAAAACUCUGUUGUUAGAGAAGAACAAGGAUGAGAGUAACUGUUCAUCCCUUGACGGUAUCUAACCAGAAAGCCACGGCUAACUACGUGCCAGCAGCCGCGGUAAUACGUAGGUGGCAAGCGUUGUCCGGAUUUAUUGGGCGUAAAGCGAGCGCAGGCGGUUUCUUAAGUCUGAUGUGAAAGCCCCCGGCUCAACCGGGGAGGGUCAUUGGAAACUGGGAGACUUGAGUGCAGAAGAGGAGAGUGGAAUUCCAUGUGUAGCGGUGAAAUGCGUAGAUAUAUGGAGGAACACCAGUGGCGAAGGCGGCUCUCUGGUCUGUAACUGACGCUGAGGCUCGAAAGCGUGGGGAGCAAACAGGAUUAGAUACCCUGGUAGUCCACGCCGUAAACGAUGAGUGCUAAGUGUUGGAGGGUUUCCGCCCUUCAGUGCUGCAGCUAACGCAUUAAGCACUCCGCCUGGGGAGUACGACCGCAAGGUUGAAACUCAAAGGAAUUGACGGGGGCCCGCACAAGCGGUGGAGCAUGUGGUUUAAUUCGAAGCAACGCGAAGAACCUUACCAGGUCUUGACAUCCUUUGACCACUCUAGAGAUAGAGCUUCCCCUUCGGGGGCAAAGUGACAGGUGGUGCAUGGUUGUCGUCAGCUCGUGUCGUGAGAUGUUGGGUUAAGUCCCGCAACGAGCGCAACCCUUAUUGUUAGUUGCCAUCAUUUAGUUGGGCACUCUAGCAAGACUGCCGGUGACAAACCGGAGGAAGGUGGGGAUGACGUCAAAUCAUCAUGCCCCUUAUGACCUGGGCUACACACGUGCUACAAUGGGAAGUACAACGAGUCGCGAAGUCGCGAGGCUAAGCUAAUCUCUUAAAGCUUCUCUCAGUUCGGAUUGUAGGCUGCAACUCGCCUACAUGAAGCCGGAAUCGCUAGUAAUCGCGGAUCAGCACGCCGCGGUGAAUACGUUCCCG
RNAcentral lists this ribosomal RNA (1296 nucleotides) under Enterococcus durans. RNAcentral describes it as "bacterial SSU rRNA". It matches the Rfam family "Bacterial small subunit ribosomal RNA", at positions 93 to 1376 of the family's 1533-position model. Lineage: Bacteria; Bacillati; Bacillota; Bacilli; Lactobacillales; Enterococcaceae. The record is from RNAcentral.